GCAGGAAGAAAAGAAAUGUCUUCUCAAAUGUACCCAUCUUCUAAAGGGGGCUUGGCAGCUUUUGAGACUCAAGUUUUGGCAACCAACUGGCAUUUCUCCAGCACGGGGCUGGGCUGGACGCAGAUCUUCUUGCCCUGGCUCUGCAGUCUCCUGAUGUCUCAGAGAGGUGUGGGGAAAGAUACACACAUUUCUCAUGCCAGAAGAUGCAUGCCAGUGGAUCUAAAGAAGUCUAAUGUGAACAAAGAGAAGAGUCUUCAAAUAUCUGACUUAUAUAUUCUUCCUGGGAUUUUGGAUAUAAUCAGUGAAAACAACAGAAUGCCCUUUUAUUGGCUACUCAAACAGCCUGAGCUGUGUUUCCAUUCAUGAUGUAACUUUCAAAGUGAAUUUACAAAGCAACUGGAUUCACAUGCUGGUGUCCCAACCUCGUUUUAAUAGAAUGUUCUGCUUGUGGCCCUCACAAACUCCCCACUGCUUGCUGAGGUGGAUUAAAAGAUGCAAACUCACUGAAAUACGCCAAAGAAUAUAAUGGUCUCUACAGAAGAUCUGGCUGUGUCAACCAACAAAAAGUUCCAGCUGUGGCCGCUGUGUGGAACAAAGGGAACUCUUGGCUUAACAUGGAGUGCAUGCUUCUGACGUUCCAGUUCAGGCAAGAAAUAAAUAAAGCUAUUACAAAGCCC
This 677-nucleotide long non-coding RNA is filed under the name Sus scrofa (pig). RNAcentral describes it as "lncRNA (ENSSSCG00065069926.1)". The record is from RNAcentral. Lineage: Eukaryota; Metazoa; Chordata; Mammalia; Artiodactyla; Suidae.